This is a non-coding RNA of Paramuricea clavata, 354 nucleotides long. Lineage: Eukaryota; Metazoa; Cnidaria; Anthozoa; Malacalcyonacea; Plexauridae. The record is from the annotation of a GenBank genome assembly.
CGGAUAUUGACCUCACAAUUAAUAAGAAGAAACUUUAAUUUAUAAAUACCAAGGUUCAGUCUGGGUUAUACCAAUCAAGGGGUUAUUUUAGGAAGCUCAAAAAAUCACUAUCCGAUGGACAGUGCUAUCUGGCCUUAGCACGACCGCCCCCAGUACGUUACAUAAUUUACCUAAUUUGCAUAUUGUAUUGUAAAAAAGUAAAAUAACCGAUGUGCAAAUUAGGUAAAUGCAUGAUUAAGCUAGACUUGCCACAAGUCGACCAUGGGGGAGGGAGCGCGCGACCCGAGCGACGCGCGCCAUAGAAGGGUCUGGAAAGGACUUUGGAAAGUCUAGAAUUAAGCGUGUGUGAAAGGC